CAUGUGGCUGUUUCUUAUUAGGAGCCCAAAGCUUAUCUUUUUCUGUGCCGUGUCAUCUCUCCUGAUUCAGGAUCUGGAGCCAAAAAAAAGGUGAUUUGAAAGGAAUCCAUUGUCUCUUGGCAAUUGGUUCUUCUUCCUGAGAAAGGUUCUAGGUGAGUGUGGUUCAGCUGAAAACCCCCAAAUUAAUACCUGGCCUGCAGUGAUAAAACCAGGGCACCAGCCUUUUGGCUGUGCCCAACCCUCCCCACUGAGCGAUGGUGAAGCAGCAGACAAGGGCGCCUUUCUUCAAAGUGGUUCCCCUUCAUCUCAUAAACUCUCAGCCCCUGCCUGAUUGGCUGUGCCAAAAAGGAGCCAGGCCCCCGCUCCAGUCCUCAGAUACAAAGCUCAGGUUGGAACAGCGCCUCCCUUUGCCAGACCCAGGGAUUGCACUUUACCCUGUUGAGGUUCCUAAACUUCUUUCAUACAAGCUAAGGACAUCAUGGGAAGCAGGAAGAGAGAGUGA
Long non-coding RNA from Lutra lutra (Eurasian river otter), 502 nucleotides. RefSeq lists it as uncharacterized. The transcript has 5 exons. NCBI's taxonomy places the organism in Eukaryota, Metazoa, Chordata, Mammalia, Carnivora, Mustelidae. The record is from RefSeq and is a predicted model, not a curated record.